This 574-nucleotide ribosomal RNA is filed under the name Polypedates pseudocruciger (false hour-glass tree frog). RNAcentral describes it as "partial 16S ribosomal RNA". It matches the Rfam family "Bacterial large subunit ribosomal RNA", at positions 1830 to 2623 of the family's 2925-position model. The record is from RNAcentral. Lineage: Eukaryota; Metazoa; Chordata; Amphibia; Anura; Rhacophoridae.
GGCCCUAUCCGAAUCACCGUGCAGCCUGCCCAGUGAUUUUCAACGGCCUCGGUAUCCUAACCGAGCGAAGGUAGCAUAAUCACUUGUUCUUUAAAUGGGGACUCGUAUCAACGGCAUCACGAGGGUUUUACUGUCUCCUCUUUUUAAUCAGUGAAAUUGAUCUUCCCGUGAAGAAGCGGGAAUGUACCUAUAAGACGAGAAGACCCCAUGGAGCUUUAAACCAAAUAGCAACUUAACAAUACAUUUCUUAAUAGUUUUAAAGAGCCCUGCUAUGAGGUUUUGGGUUGGGGUGACCGCGGAGUAUAACAUAUCCUCCAUGACGAAAAGGCCACAAUCUUUAUUCAUGACCUACAGAUCUAAAAAUUAGCAUACUAACGUACACUGAUCCGAUAAUCGAUCAACGGAACAAGUUACCCUGGGGAUAACAGCGCAAUCUACUUCAAGAGCUCAUAUCGACGAGUAGGCUUACGACCUCGAUGUUGGAUCAGGGUAUCCCGGUGGUGCAGCCGCUACCGAAGGUUCGUUUGUUCAACGAUUAAAAACCCCUACGUGAUCUGAGUUUCAGAACAGAGAA